Molecule: ribosomal RNA, 342 nt
Filed under: uncultured bacterium
Lineage: Bacteria
Description: bacterial SSU rRNA
Rfam family: Bacterial small subunit ribosomal RNA
Source: RNAcentral
GCAUACGUCCGUACGGGAGAAAGCAGGGGACCUUCGGGCCUUGCGCUAUCAGAUGAGCCUAGGUCGGAUUAGCUAGUUGGUGAGGUAAUGGCUCACCAAGGCGACGAUCCGUAACUGGUCUGAGAGGAUGAUCAGUCACACUGGAACUGAGACACGGUCCAGACUCCUACGGGAGGCAGCAGUGGGGAAUAUUGGACAAUGGGUGAAAGCCUGAUCCAGCCAUGCCGCGUGUGUGAAGAAGGUCUUCGGAUUGUAAAGCACUUUAAGUUGGGAGGAAGGGUAGUAACCUAAUACGUUGCUACUUUGACGUUACCGACAGAAUAAGCACCGGCUAACUUCGUG